UGGAACGCCCACCGAAUUUGUCCAUCGACGAAAGAAAGCCUGGCCACGUUCUCGUCUUGCCAUCUCCGUGUUGCGUUUGGGCAGCAUUCUUCAGUGGCAACUCGGCUUCGCAUUAAGUUUGCUUCGGCUCACAGUUAACGAGAGCAUCAGCAUGAUGAGUGAUGGUGGUUGCGUCAUUGAUGACUCACUCCCCUCCUAGGAUGGUUGCCCAACUUACGAAGGGGGCAGGUAGCCGUACGCCAUCGAAAGACUUGUCAAAGGAAGGAAUCAACGGAAACGUCGAGAAAGCGGCAAGGGACCAUGAGAUACGGGAGGAAAAGCUACCGAGAAUAGAGAGCGAGGCAGCAGAGAAAAGAAAGAAGGAGGGACCUUUCGUGCGGUGCUGGAGAGAAAUCUCAGUUGCGAGAACUGGCAGGGUGAACCACGGCAGACAUUCAUUUGGCAAGGGAGAAAUGCGCCUGCGGGGUGCCGAGACAGUUAGCUGGGGAUAUUGGCACGCCCUGCCGGAGACGUGACAACGCAAAGACAGGCGUCCGCCCGGCGCCGUGGGCCGGAGAUGCUGGGCAUAAAAUGGAACCUCGCCGGCCACUUCCUUCUCCAGAGAAGAACCAAAGAAAAACCUCGGUGUGACUUCUUGGCGGGAACAGACCACGCUGCCCCCGACCGAAAGAAAAGGAAAGGGAGAGGGAAACCGGCGGCCCAAAUUCCCGCUUUCCCCAACCAAUGCUCUCCACCAUUCGAUCUUUCUCGCAUCGCUGGUCGGCCACGCGGCGCCGGGGUCGACUCGGAAGCGCAGCGAUCGCCGAGACUACUGCUACCUGCUGGCUUUUCUCUCGGAGUGGCAGCAAGUGCAGACGGCCAGUACCUGCUGCCCAAGUAAUGUACAACAUACUCAAAGAAAGUGUCUAACGUGACGUAACACAAACGCCUCAGUACUGCACCAAACGAGAGCGAAGGUAAUCGAAAGGCCCGACUUUUUUGCUAAUCACAACCAUAUGAAGCCAACACGCAAUGAGGUUAAUGAAAGGAU
Dermacentor albipictus is the source of this 1030-nucleotide RNA transcript. RefSeq lists it as uncharacterized. NCBI's taxonomy places the organism in Eukaryota, Metazoa, Arthropoda, Arachnida, Ixodida, Ixodidae. The record is from RefSeq and is a predicted model, not a curated record.